UACAGAGGUCCCAAGCGUUGUUCGGAUUCAUUGGGCGUAAAGGGUGUGUAGGUGGCGCCGUAAGUCGGGUGUGAAAUCUCGGGGCUUAACUCCGAAACUGCAUUCGAUACUGCGGUGCUUGAGGACUGGAGAGGAGACUGGAAUUCAUGGUGUAGCAGUGAAAUGCGUAGAGAUCAUGAGGAAUACCAGAGGCGAAGGCGGCUACCUGGACAAUUGCUGACGCUCAGGCACGAAAGCGUGGGGAGCAAAAGGG
This 253-nucleotide ribosomal RNA is filed under the name uncultured bacterium. RNAcentral describes it as "partial 16S ribosomal RNA". It matches the Rfam family "Bacterial small subunit ribosomal RNA", at positions 524 to 776 of the family's 1533-position model. The record is from RNAcentral.